CCUACGGGGGGCAGCAGUGAGGAAUAUUGGUCAAUGGACGAGAGUCUGAACCAGCCAAGUAGCGUGAAGGAUGACUGCCCUAUGGGUUGUAAACUUCUUUUAUAUGGGAAUAAAAUGUUCCACGUGUGGGAUUUUGUAUGUACCAUAUGAAUAAGGAUCGGCUAACUCCGUGCCAGCAGCCGCGGUAAUACGGAGGAUCCGAGCGUUAUCCGGAUUUAUUGGGUUUAAAGGGAGCGUAGGUGGAUUGUUAAGUCAGUUGUGAAAGUUUGGGGCUCAACCGUAAAAUUGCAGUUGAAACUGGCAGUCUUGAGUACAGUAGAGGUGGGCGGAAUUCGUGGUGUAGCGGUGAAAUGCUUAGAUAUCGCGAAGAACUCCGAUUGCGAAGGCAGUUCACUGGACUGCAACUGACACUGAGGCGCGAAAGUGUGGGUAUCAAACAGGAUUAGAUACCCGGGUAGUC
RNAcentral lists this ribosomal RNA (460 nucleotides) under uncultured bacterium. RNAcentral describes it as "partial 16S ribosomal RNA". It matches the Rfam family "Bacterial small subunit ribosomal RNA", at positions 338 to 795 of the family's 1533-position model. The record is from RNAcentral.